UACGGGGGGGGCAAGCGUUGUUCGGAAUUACUGGGCGUAAAGGGCUCGUAGGCGGCCAACUAAGUCGGACGUGAAAUCCCUCGGCUUAACCGGGGAACUGCGUCCGAUACUGGAUGGCUUGAGUUCGGGAGAGGGAUGCGGAAUUCCAGGUGUAGCGGUGAAAUGCGUAGAUAUCUGGAGGAACACCGGUGGCGAAGGCGGCAUCCUGGACCGAUACUGACGCUGAGGAGCGAAAGCGUGGGGAGCGAACAGG
This 253-nucleotide ribosomal RNA is filed under the name uncultured bacterium. Its description in RNAcentral is "partial 16S ribosomal RNA". It matches the Rfam family "Bacterial small subunit ribosomal RNA", at positions 524 to 776 of the family's 1533-position model. The record is from RNAcentral.